Molecule: ribosomal RNA, 425 nt
Filed under: uncultured bacterium
Lineage: Bacteria
Description: bacterial SSU rRNA
Rfam family: Bacterial small subunit ribosomal RNA
Source: RNAcentral
GUAACACGUGGACCAAUCUGCCCCCCGGCCCGGGAUAGCCCAGGGAAACCUGGAUUAAUACCGGAUGAGACGGGACCCGCGAUGGCGGGAUCCGGGAAAGGCGCUACGGCGCCGCCGGGGGAUGAGUCUGCGUCCCAUUAGCUAGACGCGGGGUAACGGCCCACCGUGGCGACGAUGGGUAGCCGGCCUGAGAGGGUGGACGGCCACAUUGGAACUGAGACACGGUCCAGACUCCUACGGGAGGCAGCAGGCUAAGAAUCUUCCGCAAUGGGCGAAAGCCUGACGGAGGACCGACGCCGCGUGAACGAAGAAGGCCGUGAGGUUGUAAAGUUCUUUUCGGGAGGGGGAACAACCGUGGCAGGGAAUGGCCGCGGGAUGACGUGAAUCCCGGAAUAAGCCCCGGCUAACUACGUGCCAGCCGCCGC